RNAcentral lists this transfer RNA (69 nucleotides) under Chloroflexota bacterium. RNAcentral's name for it is "Chloroflexi bacterium tRNA-Ile". The stretch from base 4 to 64 matches the Rfam family "tRNA", at positions 7 to 64 of the family's 71-position model. From Rfam's summary of the family: Transfer RNA (tRNA) molecules are approximately 80 nucleotides in length. Their secondary structure includes four short double-helical elements and three loops (D, anti-codon, and T loops). The record is from RNAcentral. Lineage: Bacteria; Bacillati; Chloroflexota.
GUCAUAGCUCAAUUGGAUAGAGUGCUGUGUUGAUAACGCAGUGGUUGAGGGUUCGAGUCCCUUUAGGUA